UACGAACCGUCCAAACGUUAUUCGGAAUUACUGGGCUUAAAGGGUACGUAGGCGGCGCCAUCAGUCGGGUGUGAAAUCCCACGGCUCAACCGUGGAACUGCGCCCGAUACUGUGGUGCUUGAGGGAGACAGAGGUAAGCGGAACUGAUGGUGGAGCGGUGAAAUGCGUUGAUAUCAUCAGGAACACCAGUGGCGAAAGCUGCUUACUGGGUCUCUUCUGACGCUGAGGUACGAAAGCUAGGGGAGCGAAGGGG
RNAcentral lists this ribosomal RNA (253 nucleotides) under uncultured bacterium. RNAcentral's name for it is "partial 16S ribosomal RNA". It matches the Rfam family "Bacterial small subunit ribosomal RNA", at positions 524 to 776 of the family's 1533-position model. The record is from RNAcentral.